RNAcentral lists this long non-coding RNA (208 nucleotides) under Gossypium raimondii (Peruvian cotton). RNAcentral describes it as "long non-coding RNA (GRAI_LNC007748)". The record is from RNAcentral. Lineage: Eukaryota; Viridiplantae; Streptophyta; Magnoliopsida; Malvales; Malvaceae.
UUUUGUGCUUUUUUUCUUUUUGGUUCGAUUUAUUUUCCUUUCUUUCUUUCCUUUAAGUAUUAGUCUUUCGUUUCUUUUUUAAAUCAAUCUAAAUUCUAGUUUCGAUAAGUUUUUUAUUGAUAUUUCUUUCUUAUUUGUUAAAGGGAGAAUGAUGAGGAGUACUCACAGUUAGGGUGGUGAUAUGGAGAUUUUGGGAGUUCAAAAUGGG